UUAGUUUGAUUUCUGGCUCAGGACGAACGCUGGCGGCGUGCCUAAUACAUGCAAGUAGAACGCUGAGAACUGGUGCUUGCACCGGUUCAAGGAGUUGCGAACGGNCUGNAGUAACGCGUAGGUAACCUACCUCAUAGCGGGGGAUAACUAUUGGAAACGAUAGCUAAUACCGCAUAAGAGAGACUAACGCAUGUUAGUAAUUUAAAAGGGGCAAUUGCUCCACUAUGAGAUGGACCUGCGUUGUAUUAGCUAGUUGGUGAGGUAAGGCUCACCAAGGCGACGAUACAUAGCCGACCUGAGAGGGUGAUCGGCCACACUGGGACUGAGACACGGCCCAGACUCCUACGGGAGGCAGCAGUAGGGAAUCUUCGGCAAUGGGGGCAACCCUGACCGAGCAACGCCGCGUGAGUGAAGAAGGUUUUCGGAUCGUAAAGCUCUGUUGUUAGAGAAGAAUGAUGGUGGGAGUGGAAAAUCCACCAAGUGACGGUAACUAACCAGAAAGGGACGGCUAACUACGUGCCAGCAGCCGCGGUAAUACGUAGGUCCCGAGCGUUGUCCGGAUUUAUUGGGCGUAAAGCGAGCGCAGGCGGUUUUUUAAGUCUGAAGUUAAAGGCAUUGGCUCAACCAAUGUACGCUUUGGAAACUGGAGAACUUGAGUGCAGAAGGGGAGAGUGGAAUUCCAUGUGUAGCGGUGAAAUGCGUAGAUAUAUGGAGGAAACACCCGGUGGCGAAAGCGGCUCUCUGGUUCUGUAACUGACGCUGAGGCUCGAAAGCGUGGGGAGCAAACAGGAUUAGAUACCUGGGGUAGU
RNAcentral lists this ribosomal RNA (809 nucleotides) under Streptococcus pyogenes. RNAcentral describes it as "bacterial SSU rRNA". It matches the Rfam family "Bacterial small subunit ribosomal RNA", at positions 1 to 794 of the family's 1533-position model. The record is from RNAcentral. Lineage: Bacteria; Bacillati; Bacillota; Bacilli; Lactobacillales; Streptococcaceae.